CUAUUUUUGCAGUGAAAUGGUUCUCAGUUUUGAGAUUUUGAGGGAAUCCGGUGAGCCCGAUAACUAUCGGGGAAGUCCGGAGCUGUACCCGCAGCUGUAAUCCUUUCAUGUUGACAGCAUUUCAGCCACUGUUCCGUCGGUAAACGGAGCGGGAAGGCCGCUGCCAAUUGGGGAAAGCCAGAAGACCUGCCGUUUCAUAAACAAUAUC
Molecule: non-coding RNA, 208 nt
Filed under: Tangfeifania diversioriginum
Lineage: Bacteria; Pseudomonadati; Bacteroidota; Bacteroidia; Marinilabiliales; Prolixibacteraceae
Source: RNAcentral